GACGAACGCUGGCGGCGUGCCUAAUACAUGCAAGUCGAACGCUUCUUUCCUCCCGAGUGCUUGCACUCAAUUGGAAAGAGGAGUGGCGGAUGGGUGAGUAACACGUGGGUAACCUACCCAUCAGAGGGGGAUAACACUUGGAAACAGGUGCUAAUACCGCAUAACAGUUUAUGCCGCAUGGCAUAAGAGUGAAAGGCGCUUUCGGGUGUCGCUGAUGGAUGGACCCGCGGUGCAUUAGCUAGUUGGUGAGGUAACGGCUCACCAAGGCCACGAUGCAUAGCCGACCUGAGAGGGUGAUCGGCCACACUGGGACUGAGACACGGCCCAGACUCCUACGGGAGGCAGCAGUAGGGAAUCUUCGGCAAUGGACGAAAGUCUGACCGAGCAACGCCGCGUGAGUGAAGAAGGUUUUCGGAUCGUAAAACUCUGUUGUUAGAGAAGAACAAGGACGUUAGUAACUGAACGUCCCCUGACGGUAUCUAACCAGAAAGCCACGGCUAACUACGUG
RNAcentral lists this ribosomal RNA (508 nucleotides) under uncultured bacterium. RNAcentral describes it as "partial 16S ribosomal RNA". It matches the Rfam family "Bacterial small subunit ribosomal RNA", at positions 28 to 507 of the family's 1533-position model. The record is from RNAcentral.